This 21-nucleotide non-coding RNA is filed under the name Caenorhabditis elegans. Lineage: Eukaryota; Metazoa; Nematoda; Chromadorea; Rhabditida; Rhabditidae. The record is from RNAcentral.
UGUUUUCUGUUCUAUUCAGUU